RNAcentral lists this ribosomal RNA (253 nucleotides) under uncultured bacterium. Its description in RNAcentral is "partial 16S ribosomal RNA". It matches the Rfam family "Bacterial small subunit ribosomal RNA", at positions 524 to 776 of the family's 1533-position model. The record is from RNAcentral.
UACGAAGGGGGCUAGCGUUGUUCGGAUUUACUGGGCGUAAAGCGCACGUAGGCGGAUCUUUAAGUCAGAGGUGAAAUCCCAAGGCUCAACCUUGGAACUGCCUUUGAUACUGGGGAUCUUGAGUCCGGGAGAGGUGAGUGGAACUGCGAGUGUAGAGGUGAAAUUCGUAGAUAUUCGCAAGAACACCAGUGGCGAAGGCGGCUCACUGGCCCGGUACUGACGCUGAUGCGCGAAAGCCAGGGGAGCAAACGGG